AGAGUUUGAUCCUGGCUCAGGAUGAACGCUGGCGGCGUGCCUAACACAUGCAAGUCGAACGUGAGCUUUACUUCGGUAAAGUGAAAGUGGCGAACGGGUGAGUAACACGUAGGUGACCUGCCCCGAGACGGGGGAUAACUCUGGGAAACCAGAGCUAAUACCCCAGAUGUUCAAGCGGUUAGAGGGUUUGAACUAAAACCUUGGUGUCUUGGGAGGGGCCUGCGGGCUAUCAGCUAGUUGGUGGGGUAAAAGCCUACCAAGGCGAAGACGGCUAGGGGGCGUGAGAGCGCGAUCCCCCACAAGGGAACUGAGAAACGGUCCCUACUCCUACGGGAGGCAGCAGUGAGGAAUAUUGAGCAAUGGGCGCAAGCCUGACUCAGCAACGCCGCGUGGAUGAAGAAGGCCUUCGGGCUGUAAAAUCCUUUUCUGCGGGACGAUAAUGACGGUACCGCAGGAAUAAGUUCCGGCUAACUACGUGCCAGCAGCCGCGGUAAAACGUAGGGGACAAGCGUUAUCCGGAUUUACUGGGCGUAAAGCGCCCGUAGGCGGCCUGCCAAGUUGGCUGUGAAAGCUCCCGGCUUAACUGGGAGAGGUCAGACAAAACUGGCAGGCUAGAGGCUGAAAGAGGAGAGCGGAAUUCCCGGUGUAGUGGUGGAAUGCGUAGAGAUCGGGAGGAACACCAGUGGCGAAAGCGGCUCUCUGGAUCAGCCCUGACGCUGAGGGGCGAAAGCGUGGGGAGCGAACGGGAUUAGAUACCCCAGUAGUCC
RNAcentral lists this ribosomal RNA (767 nucleotides) under uncultured Chloroflexota bacterium. RNAcentral's name for it is "bacterial SSU rRNA". It matches the Rfam family "Bacterial small subunit ribosomal RNA", at positions 8 to 796 of the family's 1533-position model. Lineage: Bacteria; Bacillati; Chloroflexota. The record is from RNAcentral.